This 253-nucleotide ribosomal RNA is filed under the name uncultured bacterium. Its description in RNAcentral is "partial 16S ribosomal RNA". It matches the Rfam family "Bacterial small subunit ribosomal RNA", at positions 524 to 776 of the family's 1533-position model. The record is from RNAcentral.
UACGUAGGUGGCAAGCGUUGUCCGGAUUUACUGGGCGUAAAGAGCGCGCAGGCGGUCGUUCAAGUCGCGUGUGAAAGCCCCCGGCUCAACUGGGGAGGGUCACGCGAUACUGAUCGACUCGAAGGCAGGAGAGGGAAGUGGAAUUCCCGGUGUAGUGGUGAAAUGCGUAGAGAUCCGGAGGAACACCAGUGGCGAAGGCGACACGCUGGGCCGUACCUGACGCUAAAGCGCGACAGCAUGGGGAGCAAACGGG